Molecule: non-coding RNA, 23 nt
Filed under: Cricetulus griseus (Chinese hamster)
Lineage: Eukaryota; Metazoa; Chordata; Mammalia; Rodentia; Cricetidae
Source: RNAcentral
AUCUGGAUUGGCAGGCAGCAGGG